RNAcentral lists this ribosomal RNA (502 nucleotides) under Australytta rubrolineata. RNAcentral describes it as "partial large subunit ribosomal RNA". It matches the Rfam family "Archaeal large subunit ribosomal RNA", at positions 1889 to 2644 of the family's 2987-position model. The record is from RNAcentral. Lineage: Eukaryota; Metazoa; Arthropoda; Insecta; Coleoptera; Meloidae.
CGCCUGUUUAUCAAAAACAUGUCUUUUUGUUAAUUAUUUAAGGUUUGGCCUGCUCCAUGAUAAAUUAAAUAGCCGCAGUAUUUUGACUGUGCAAAGGUAGCAUAAUCAUUAGUUUUUUAAUUGAAAGCUGGAAUGAAUGGUCGGAUGAGGGAGUAACUGUCUCAUUUUAAUUUUUUUUGAAUUUUAUUUUUGAGUCAAAAAGCUCAGAUUGUGUAAAAAGACGAGAAGACCCUAUAGAGUUUAAUAGGUUUACAAUUUAAUUAUUUGAAGGUUUAAUUUUAAUUGCUUUGUAGCUUAUUUGGUUGGGGUGACAUUAGAAUUGAUAAAACUUCUUUAAAUUUAAACACUGAUUAGUGGUUGGAUGAUCCUGAAAUUUGGAUUAUAAGAAUAAAUUACCUUAGGGAUAACAGCGUAAUCUUUUUGGAGAGUUCUAAUCGAUAAAGAGGAUUGCGACCUCGAUGUUGGAUUAAAGUUAAUUUCUGGUGCAGAAGCUAGGAUUUUG